RNAcentral lists this ribosomal RNA (465 nucleotides) under uncultured bacterium. RNAcentral describes it as "partial 16S ribosomal RNA". It matches the Rfam family "Bacterial small subunit ribosomal RNA", at positions 338 to 795 of the family's 1533-position model. The record is from RNAcentral.
CCUACGGGUGGCAGCAGUAGGGAAUCUUCCACAAUGGGCGAAAGCCUGACGGAGCAACGCCGCGUGGGUGAAGAAGGUCUUCGGAUCGUAAAACUCUGUUGUCAGAGAAGAAAGUGCGUUAGAGUAACUGUUCACGUUUUGACGGUAUCUAACCAGCACGCAACGGCUAACUACGUGCCAGCAGCCGCGGUAAUACGGAGGUUGCAAGCGUUAUCCGGAAUUAUUGGGCGUAAAGGGAACGCAGGCGGUCUUUUAAGUCUGAUGUGAAAGCCUUCGGCUUAACCGGAGUAGUGCAUUGGAAACUGGGAGACUGGAGUGCAGAAGAGGAGAGUGGAACUCCAGGUGUAGCGGUGAAAUGCGUAGAUAUAUGGAGGAACACCAGUGGCGAAGGCGGCUCUCUGGUCUGUAACUGACGCUGAGGUGCGAAAGCGUGGGUAGCAAACAGGAUUAGAUACCCCAGUAGUC